UACGGAGGGUGCAAGCGUUAUCCGGAUUUACUGGGUUUAAAGUGUGCGUAGGUGGGCAGGUAAGUCAGUGGUGAAAUCUCCGGGCUUAACUCGGAAACUGCCAUUGAUACUAUCUUUCUUGAAUACCGUGGAGGUCAGCGGAAUAUGUCAUGUAGCGGUGAAAUGCUUAGAUAUGACAUAGAACACCAAUUGCGAAGGCAGCUGGCUACACGAAUAUUGACACUGAUGCACGAAAGCGUGGGGAUCAAACAGG
Molecule: ribosomal RNA, 253 nt
Filed under: uncultured bacterium
Lineage: Bacteria
Description: partial 16S ribosomal RNA
Rfam family: Bacterial small subunit ribosomal RNA
Source: RNAcentral